Molecule: non-coding RNA, 98 nt
Filed under: Lysinibacillus sphaericus
Lineage: Bacteria; Bacillati; Bacillota; Bacilli; Caryophanales; Bacillaceae
Description: Lysinibacillus sp. TPP sequence
Rfam family: TPP riboswitch aptamer (THI element)
About the family: Vitamin B(1) in its active form thiamin pyrophosphate (TPP) is an essential coenzyme that is synthesised by coupling of pyrimidine and thiazole moieties in bacteria.
Source: RNAcentral
GCAAAAUUGCAGGGGGACUCGAAAGAGUUGAGAAGGUAAAACCUGACCCUUUGAACCUGUUAGUUAAUACUGACGUAGGGAGCAACAAACAUCGAUUU